RNAcentral lists this long non-coding RNA (2006 nucleotides) under Nicotiana tabacum (common tobacco). RNAcentral's name for it is "long non-coding RNA (NTAB_LNC005059)". Lineage: Eukaryota; Viridiplantae; Streptophyta; Magnoliopsida; Solanales; Solanaceae. The record is from RNAcentral.
ACGCCCCCUUCCCCUGUCUCCUCUGACGUGGAAGAUAAACUAGUUCUUUGCUUUUGGUGCUGUGAGGUGUUUUCCUAGCUCUCCAACACCUGCUUUCGGUGGGUUUCUGCUAUAUACUUGUCCCUUGAAGUAUGUUUACUUUGGUGCCCUUGCUUUUGCAUAUUUGAAAACCCCAUGUUUCGCUUCGGUUUUUCUCUUUGUUUUUCUGUAGCUGGGCUUUUGUGCUAUCUUUACACUCGAUGGCUGAACAGUGAGUACUCUGCUCUUCGUCUUUUAUCUCCUUUUUUAGAUUUGCGUACCUGCAUUAAUGAACUAUAGCUGGCUUGGCAACUUUUAAAUUACUAAUGGUUUUUAUAUGAACUAAUUUACUGUUACAGCUUUAUUUGGAGCUACAUCAAAUUUUUUCUUCCCUUGUUACUCAAUUAUGUAGCUCUCCACUUUUGUUUUCCCACGUAAAAUUCCAUAUUGAUUGGUUAAUGUUGCUUGUUAAUUGGUAUUCUUUAUCAUUGAGUGUUCAAUUCUGAAUUUGCUUUCUCUUGCUUUAAUUCUUCUGUCUUCUAAAUUUUCUGUUUGGAACUGCUUUUGCCCAAAUUCUUUGGCGUGUUAAUGGAUAAUAAAGUUUUACAGAUGGAUAAUGUUUGCUAAUUGUGUCUUUUAUUAUUGGGUGUUCAAUUAUGAAUUUGCUUUCUUUAUGCUUAAUUUUUAGGAUUCUUCUAAAUUUUCCAUUUGAACUGUUUUUUGCCCUCUUCUUGAUUAUUGUCCCGCUUAUGUUAUUGAGUUUCUUUUGUUCUUGUUCUUUGAUGAUCGUGUUAUUACAGCAGUAAGCAAGAACAAUUUGUUCUUUUUUUAUUGAGUUGUUGUUUUGAUGGUUCUCCAAUUAUGUAUAUACAACAAUUAGAAAAAAAAGAACUAAGUGUGAUGAAUACGACAUCCAAAUAGAGAUUUUAUGGGUCUUUUUCAAGUCAAGACGUUGCCAACUCAUCACGGUGAGAAUCUAUGAAGGGUAAAUAGAUAUAAAUAAGAUGAGAAUGACCUUCAUAAUAAGGAAUCUAAAAUUCGGGUCAAAUAAAUUCAGCAAAGAAGAGAAUCAAUGGGUGGAGGUAGCAGAAAAUAGAAGGACAACAGGGGAACAAUCACAUAUUUUCUUCUUGUAAUAUAUAAAUAGAAAACAAAUGUAGGACGUAUGUACCUUGUUUUGUGCCUUUUUUGUUUGUAGGAUGAUCCAUGCAUAUGCGUUAGGAAAGGUAUACUAUGAAGCUUCCUACUUGGACAUGUACAUGUACCCUCGAUUUAACGAUUAUAGUAAUCAUUAUCCCCUCCUAGGAUACUCGGGGAACAAAGGUAAUCAAAUUACAACCUGACUUUCUCCGUCUCUAUCUCUUUCAAGAAUAAUAAUUGCAUUAUUGCAAGUUUCAUAAGUGCUUCUUUGACAAGAUAGUAUCUUCUUUACCUGAGUUGUCGGACCUUUAAACUAACUGAAUUUAUGAUUGUCAUGCAAGGCUUACUAUAAAGACUUUUUAUAAGUACCUCACAAGUAAAACUUUUUGACAAGUGCCUCGGCAAUAAACUUUAAUUGCCUAAAAUAUUAUAUUAAUUCAAAUAGGUCAUGUAAUGUGCACGUUGAGACAAAAUCUCUGUUAUAAUAAUACACAUCUUUUGAUUCACCACAGUGAUACAAUACUUUUUCUAAGUUUUUUUUAACAUACACAAAAUAAACUUAUAGUCCCCGUGAUUCUAUUUUGUUGACUUGUUAAAUUGCAACAACAAAAAACCUAUCCCUUUCUCUCAUUUUUUUUUGCAUUUAUCAUUCUAGAUUUAGCUUUAUGCUAUGUUUUGAUUUUAAUGCUUGGUUUUCUUUUCUUUCAGUAAAUACCAAGAUGAAGGUAUGUGUUGCCAACUAUAGUUGUUAAACUCCAGAUUCUAUCCAAUUGUAGGAUCAAUUUUUUCAUAGCUGGACCACCAACAUGAACAUUAAUAAGCUGAUUGUUUUUGUCUUUCUCAUUCUC